Molecule: ribosomal RNA, 415 nt
Filed under: uncultured bacterium
Lineage: Bacteria
Description: bacterial SSU rRNA
Rfam family: Bacterial small subunit ribosomal RNA
Source: RNAcentral
UGAGGGAUAUUGGGCAAUGGGGGAAACCCUGACCCAGCGACGCCGCGUGAGGGAAGACGGUCUUCGGAUUGUAAACCUCUGUCUUUGGGGACGAAGAAGGACGGUACCCAAGGAGGAAGCUCCGGCUAACUACGUGCCAGCAGCCGCGGUAAUACGUAGGGAGCGAGCGUUGUCCGGAAUUACUGGGUGUAAAGGGAGCGUAGGCGGGAUUGCAAGUUGGAUGUGAAAAACUGCGGGCUCAACCCGGAGAGUGCAUUCAAAACUGCGAUUCUUGAGUGAAGUAGAGGCAAGCGGAAUUCCUAGUGUAGCGGUGAAAUGCGUAGAUAUUAGGAGGAACACCAGUGGCGAAGGCGGCUUGCUGGGCUUUUACUGACGCUGAGGCUCGAAAGUGUGGGAGCAAACAGGAUUAGAUACC